RNAcentral lists this ribosomal RNA (524 nucleotides) under uncultured Diversisporaceae. RNAcentral's name for it is "SSU rRNA". It matches the Rfam family "Eukaryotic small subunit ribosomal RNA", at positions 569 to 1092 of the family's 1831-position model. Lineage: Eukaryota; Fungi; Glomeromycota; Glomeromycetes; Diversisporales. The record is from RNAcentral.
AGCAGCCGCGGUAAUUCCAGCUCCAAUAGCGUAUAUUAAAGUUGUUGCAGUUAAAAAGCUCGUAGUUGAACUUCGGGGUCUACCCAUUGGUCAGGCUUAAUUGUCUGCACUGGUGAGAUGGAUCUCUACCUUCUGAGGAACUUUUAUGCCAUUUAUUUGGUGUGAUUGGAAAUCAGGACUGUUACUUUGAAAAAAUUAGAGUGUUUAAAGCAGACUAUCGUCUGAAUACAUUAGCAUGGAAUAAUGAAAUAGGACGGACUGAUUCUAUUUCGUUGGUUUCUAGGAUCACCGUAAUGAUUAAUAGGGAUAGUUGGGGGCAUUAGUAUUCAAUUGUCAGAGGUGAAAUUCUUGGAUUUAUUGAAGACUAACUACUGCGAAAGCAUUUGCCAAGGAUGUUUUCAUUAAUCAAGAACGAAAGUUAGGGGAUCGAAGACGAUCAGAUACCGUCGUAGUCUUAACCAUAAACUAUGCCGACUAGGGAUCGGACGAAGUUAAUUUUAUAAUGACGCGUUCGGCACCUUACG